Thamnophis elegans (Western terrestrial garter snake) is the source of this 4085-nucleotide long non-coding RNA. RefSeq lists it as uncharacterized. NCBI's taxonomy places the organism in Eukaryota, Metazoa, Chordata, Lepidosauria, Squamata, Natricidae. The transcript is spliced from 2 exons. The record is from RefSeq and is a predicted model, not a curated record.
GUAAAAUGUGGCAAAAUUCUCUUAACAAAUGUCUCACUUACCAACAGAAAUUUUAGCCUUAAUUGUGGUCAUAAGGUGAAAAGUUACCUGUAUAUAGUAGAAAGAAUGACAGCAUAUCUUAGCCCCUUUGAAAAAGAAAUAAAAAGACCCUCCCUCUCUUUAAGGCUUCUGAACACAGCUCCUUCUUAGACAUUCUCAACAGAGGGCAGGACUGUCUGUAUUUUUCAUGUCAAACCACACAAGCUUAUAUCCUUAGCUCUCUAGAGGUUGGGAGUAGUCUGAUCUGCCCAUUCAAGAUCCAGUAGUAGAACAACAGACAUCUAUUCUGAAUUGGUGUAUUAUUAUGAUCUGAGUUUGAGGAUGGGUUUGUUCAAACUGAAUCCAAUCUUGCUCUUUUGGCUCUGUAGUAUGGCAUUUGAUUUAAACACUUGAAAGAUUUAUUUAAGCUUUGUUGCCAUAGUGCAUGAUUUGCAGCAUAGUAAAUAGAAGAAUGAUUAGGAAGCAAAAAGUGAGUGAAUACAAAGCACGACAUAUUUGUACCACCAGUUCUGCACUAUGCAAGAGGAAUCUAUCUUGAGUUACCAAAUUCAUUUUGGAAUGAGCCUCAUCUGGAUCGAAGAAUUAUGUUGUUUUUCAUAAGCAGUUUAAAGGAAGAUUUGUGGUAAUUUAUAAUGCAAUUUGUUUAUUUUUAUAUAGCCCUUUGGCCAUAAAGGAACCAAUGUAUAAUUACUUAAAACGUAGUUGCCUUUGCAGCAUUUUAAAAAGUAAAUUCUGAAAUCCAGGUGUAUCCUUUUUUCUGUCUAAAAGCAAAGAAGAACAAGAAGACGCUUCAUAAUAAGGAUCCCAGGUGGAGUAAGUGGCAGGUGAUAUGUAAAAUGAUCAGUUACCUUGAUGUUUCCCAAUACAGAUUUUCCCCUGCAGGUCUGUAGAAAAGGAAGUAGAAGAAGAUAAGCAUCAGAUCUCCACCGCAAAAAACAACUUCCCGACCUUGCUAUGGAGCUUUUCGAGAAGGACACAGGUCUAUCAAAUUUAUAGUUCUGUUGUAAAGUAAUAUAUUCACUUCUGGAUGACUUUGCAAGCAAAAAUAAUGUCUGUCAUUCCAUAUUUUUAUUUUAAAGGGAAGAAUGAAUAAAGAUACCCAAGGACAUUCCACCUUUUGACUCAUCUUUAUAUUUGAAAUUAUAUCUAAAACAGCAAUAGGAAAUGGAAUGGAAUACUUUAUUUGGCCAAGUGUGAUUAGACACACAGGGAAUUUAUCUCUGGUGCAGAAACUCUCAGUAUACACAUAAAGCAACAGAGUAAUAAUAGUCAUAAUAAUGAUACCAAUAAGAAGGAGUACUAGAAAAGAUUAGGAUGAUAAUAAUAUUACAGCCAUACAACAUGGAUAAAUAUACUUAGACAUUAUACUACUAUGAGGAUUAGAUAUUCAGAACAAUAAUGGCAAAAUGUCCCUGUGUCUAUGGUUUUGGCAUGUAAUGAUAGUGGUGUCCCAAGGGAAGGUGUUGAUACAGUUUAUGUCCAGGAUGUGAGAGGUCUGUAGUUAUUUUCUCAGCCCUUCUGACCCUCACAGUAUACAAAUUAUGGAAGGCAGGCUGGUUGCAAUUGUUUUUUCUGAAGUCCUGACUAUCCAUUGGACUCUGUACCUGUCCUUGUUUAUUUGCUGUACCAAACGAGACAGUUAUAGAAGUGCAAAUGACAGACUCAAUAUUCCUGUGUAGAAUUGUAUCAACAGCUCCUGGGGCAAUCUGAACUUCCUAAGUUGACACAGGAAGAACAUGCUUUGUUGUGUCUUUUUAAUGAUGAUUCUAAUGUUAGAUGUCCAUUUCAAAGCUUGGAACAUUAUAGAAAACAGAAACUUGAAGCAUUCUACUGAUGAUACUGUGCUGUCAAAUAUAGUAAGAGGUGAUAGAAUAGGAGGGCUCUUCCUAAAAUCCACUUGCAUCUCUAAAUUUUUAAUCAAGUUCAGCUCCAGGUUGUUCCUGCUGCACCACAGGGCCAGUUGUUCAACCUUCUGUCUAUAUGCAGACUCAUCACUGUCUCAAAUGAGACCAAUGACUGUUACGUAUAUCUUCGAAGUACUUUGACAGAAGGAUCCUUAGAGAUGCAGUCAUUGGUAUGUGUGUGUGUGUGAGAGAGAGAAUGUGUCUGUCUGUGUACGUGUGUGUGUAUACACACACACCUCUAUCUGUAUAUAAAUAUGUAAAGUGAGUGUCAUAGAUAUGUAAUUGAAUACUGGAUGGUGUUGUCGACAUAUAUAAUAUAGGCAGAUCUUUCUCAUUGCUCUUACAUUUUUCUAUCAUGUUUGCUCUCUCUUUCCUUUGGUAUUAGAUCCAUGUUUUCUGUCCAUCAAGUUUCCUUUAUUAGUUUUUUUUUAAACCUCCUACAUGUAAAAAAAAAAAAAAAGUCAUUCAAAGAGAAUGUCAGUGGCUGAUCGGUAUUUGGCUAGCCGCUAGAGGAUCACCCAGAUAUAUUAUGUAUAUUAUAUUCAGAUCCAUUGUUGAAGAAAAAUGGUUUAUCAGUAUAAUUAAAUAAAUGAUCGGACGUUUCUUUUUUCAAUUAUCCUUCUCUUUAUUUUCAUGCCUUUAUUUCUUGAGCUUUUUUCUAAGUUCCUAUCUAAUUUUUUACUGUUCCUUUCUCUUGAAGUGAAUAGACGUAUAUAUUUGUCUAACUUCACAUAUUAAACAGAAGGGUGAAAACUGCUGGAUUUUUUAAUAUGUUCCAGUGGAAUGGAAUGUUUUUUUUUAAUCUGCAUUCUAUUACUUCAAACAGGUUUUUUAAUUCAGCUAUGAUUACAGAAAUGAUCUCAAUUCAGGAAAUAAUGCAUAAGUGGUUAGGUUUGCUGACAUGCUUCAUUUACAUCUUAAAUUCAAUGCAUUUCAAUCAUAUUUUCCUUAAUCUACAUAGCAAGAUAAUUUCAUGUAUAAUAAAUGUAUUCAUUCACAUGUAAUAAAUUCUUCAAAUGUUAGAUUCCUGAUCAUAUCAUCAAUUUGGAAGUCAUUAUUUAAAGAAAUGAGAAUUUUUUUCUAAGGUGAAUUCAUUUUUAUCCUUUUCAUGUCAAGGAAAACCUUCAAGAAAAGAUUUCACAUAGAAGCAUUUAUCCCACACAUGGGCAGCAGAGGUUAGGACUGUGCUGAGUGCAUUUUGAUAUUACCAUGUUUUCCCCAAAAUAAGACUGGGGCUUAUUUUUUUUUGGCCCCCAAAAUAAGCACUUUGACUUUUUUUCUGGGGUGUAUUAUUUUAUGGCUGCCUGCCCGCUUCCUCCCACCAUCUGCUUGCCCGUGGCCACAACACAAGUGCUGGCCACGCCAAGGGUGGGUUCUUCCCGGCUUUACUCCUGGUUUGCGCUCACUGCGCGCACAUGCACAGUUCAAUUAAAAUUGUUCUGCGCAUGUGCAGAACUAACAAAUAAGAUGGUGGUGACUGGAGAACCUGUUUGGGGACGUGGCAGGCCUUGGUCAUUGUCGGUUCCAGUGACCUAGGCUGAUAGACCACUACCAGUUCAGCCAAACCAGUCGGAAUCAGUAGAAACCUAUCACUGGGUCUUGCCCAUCCCUGGGCUUAUUUUGGGGUUAGGGCUCAUAUUAGGCCCACUGCAAAAAUCAAGCUAGUUCUUAUUUUGGGGGUGGGUCUUAUUUUCAGGGAAACAUGGUAUUAAAGAGAUGAGCAUAUUUGCCAUGUGCUUCCAAAGAUCUUGCAAGCAAACUGCUUCUCUCGGAAUUCUAUUUUGUUUCAGUUGUCAAUUUCUGAGAAGAACUAUGGGAAUGUCAGGGAAACACAUAAUAUUAAUUUGUUCUGAAAUCACUUAUCCACAUUUUUCUUUUCUAUUAAAUAUUUUCACAGGACUCUUUGAUGCUAUAGUCAGCAGGCCAGAGACUGCAGUUUUUGUACUGUGGCCCAGGCUUUAUGAAGAAUCAAGAAUCAUUCCUUCCUCCCCUUUUAAGAAUUGUGUUCCUUGCCAUUUUGUUUCUUCAGUUCUAAAAGGAAUGAAUCACGAUGGCACAAUGUCCGGAACUGGAAAGAUGACAGCAGUGUUAAUGUAUAGAUAAAAUGGAAGUUAUUCAAUAAAAAAUUAAUUUUUAAUUUGA